UACGAAGGGGGCUAGCGUUGCUCGGAAUCACUGGGCGUAAAGCGCACGUAGGCGGAUCUUUAAGUCAGGGGUGAAAUCCUGGAGCUCAACUCCAGAACUGCCUUUGAUACUGGGGAUCUCGAGUCCGGAAGAGGUGAGUGGAACUCCGAGUGUAGAGGUGAAAUUCGUAGAUAUUCGGAAGAACACCAGUGGCGAAGGCGGACUCACUGGUCCGGUACUGACGCUGAGGUGCGAAAGCGUGGGGAGCAAACAGGG
This 255-nucleotide ribosomal RNA is filed under the name uncultured bacterium. RNAcentral describes it as "partial 16S ribosomal RNA". It matches the Rfam family "Bacterial small subunit ribosomal RNA", at positions 524 to 777 of the family's 1533-position model. The record is from RNAcentral.